Phrynosoma platyrhinos (Desert horned lizard) is the source of this 72-nucleotide non-coding RNA. The record is from the annotation of a GenBank genome assembly. NCBI's taxonomy places the organism in Eukaryota, Metazoa, Chordata, Lepidosauria, Squamata, Phrynosomatidae.
GCCAGUGCAGUGUAGUGGUUUGAGUGUUGGACUGCAACUCUGGAGGCCAGGAUUCAAAUCCCAGCUCAGCCA